AUGCCUAGUUUGGAAUCUAGGGAUUAUAAAUCUUACAGUGAAAAUCUUAGGAGGAGAGUUCCCUAUUCAAAAAUCUCUCAAUCUUUGUACCUUGAGGCUUUUGAGGAGUUUGAUAGGAUUACUAGCGGAAUUUAUGUGGGAUUUAAUAGGGAUUGGAUGAAUAAAAUGAUGAAAGAACACGUUAGAAACGAGCUACGUAUUCUAUAUGAUGAUAUACACGCCGAUGAUCCCGACUAUGGGUUUAUGAAUAUUAAAAUUACCAAUCAAAGUCCUUUCCAUGAUUUGGGUUUAUAUACUAGGAGGGAAAUAAAAGAAAGGAUGGAUUUGCUAAGACGAGUUUUGGAGGAUUUGAUGAUAAAAUAA
This 363-nucleotide ribosomal RNA is filed under the name Triticum aestivum (bread wheat). RNAcentral describes it as "partial small subunit ribosomal RNA". The record is from RNAcentral. Lineage: Eukaryota; Viridiplantae; Streptophyta; Magnoliopsida; Poales; Poaceae.